GAGUGAUAAUAAAUUAAGAGCCGCUUGGGAGCCACAAGAGCCGGCUCUUUUAAGAGAGCCGAGCCAAAAGAGCCGAAUCUGUGAAAAGAGCCGGACUUCCCAUCACUAAUGUGAAGAGAUGGGUUUUCAGUAUUGUAUCCUCCUUGAAGUAUCAACGGGGGUUUUGUAUGUCUCAUUCCACGCCACUAUGUGGCAGCACGGGCAGAAAGCAUUUCCGGUGUUGUCAGAGUGCAAAGGAUUGUGGGUGUUUGCGCUCAAUAAAUGCAACGGGACCCAAACGUUUUAACGUAUUUCUUGUUGGAGGGAACUUAAGGGCUGACGUGCUGUUUCAGCACCAAAUGUUUAGCAGCUACUUAACCUGUUCUGUAUUUUUUUUAUUAUAAUUUAGAAAGGCUAUCACUGCCAGUCUUUCAAACUUUUGUUUUGUUCAGAUAAGGAGCGUUACCUUGCUGGUCAGAGCGAAGAAACGAAACCCGUCAAGUCAUUGUCGGAGUCGAGAGUUUUUCUAACACUAUUUUUGGUCGGAAAUGUGCGUUAAAAUGAUGGAUUCCAACACGAAACGCAUAAAUUCCGUCUGGCUGCGUAAAGACUUUAAACCUGGAUCUACGUUGAGAUGGAGAUUGUUCCACGUUGCCACACAGGACAACGAGGCUCCCAAACAGUGUCGAGCCACCGCGGUGAGGGCGACCAUCAGAAAGAACCUUCGGCAGCAGUCAAAGCGGCCACACCUGGCUAAAUUCGCUCAAGUGCUGGAAGAUGUGGAUAAGACAAAGAAAACGGAGUCCAUGUAUAAAGAAGGUUCCGCUACGGCCUGUGUGCACAGUCAUCCACCAGGGGCAAUGGCGCCGGCAAACACCACGCAAUACUUGAUGAAUAACGUGUAUGAAGACAUGAAGUCAAACAUCCACUCAGUUCCAGUUUCACCUGAAAUAUCUGGACAUCUGUAUGGUGAAUGGCUUUCUCCCAGGAGCGUGUAUGCUGAACUGGACUCGGGCUAUGAAAGCUGUCUCUCUUUUCAGCAGCGAGACUUUGACGAAAUGUUUGAGCUGUGUUGGUAACCGGGUUGAACCGGAUUGAACCGGUCUACGUGGCCUUGUGAAAGUGGUCCGGCUUCCUCUUUUCGCCUAAGACAAAAAGCGGCGCACGGGACGCUGCCCGCCCAGUAGGGAGCGCUCCUUGGCUCUGCGUGGCGCCGCCCAGAGGAACGAGCCAAACGCACCUCAGCUUUGCUCUGGCCGAGGAUUGUGAAAUCCAGGUAAACCCGAGCAGGUAUUCUGUUGCACUGCAUUGUCAUUGUCAUGACAAUAGUAGUAAAAUAUAUGGAAAGUGCUUCCCACAGUCACUGUUGUCAGAGUUUUCCAGGUCACCCCUGCCAGGACACGGCUUCACUGUGAGAGGUGUGGGAGGCCAAGGAGGUCGGUCCUCGGGUGGCUGAUGUAAGGUGACCUUAAAUGUCAGUGGGCAUUUUGACUGUUUACAAGAAGAUUGAUGUGAAAUACAUGCCGGUUAAUGAUUGUGAAUUAUCACUUUUGUAGUUGUAUGGUAACAUGGUGUUUUAAUGAAUGCUGUUCAAUAAAUGCACUUUAUUACA
Long non-coding RNA from Monopterus albus (swamp eel), 1591 nucleotides. RefSeq lists it as uncharacterized. Lineage: Eukaryota; Metazoa; Chordata; Actinopteri; Synbranchiformes; Synbranchidae. The transcript is spliced from 2 exons. The record is from RefSeq and is a predicted model, not a curated record.